This 405-nucleotide ribosomal RNA is filed under the name uncultured bacterium. RNAcentral describes it as "bacterial SSU rRNA". It matches the Rfam family "Bacterial small subunit ribosomal RNA", at positions 355 to 776 of the family's 1533-position model. The record is from RNAcentral.
UCGGGAAUAUUGCGCAAUGGAGGAAACUCUGACGCAGUGACGCCGCGUAUAGGAAGAAGGUUUUCGGAUUGUAAACUAUUGUCGUUAGGGAAGAAAAAAGACAGUACCUAAGGAGGAAGCUCCGGCUAACUACGUGCCAGCCGCCGCGGUAAUACGUAGGGAGCAAGCGUUAUCCGGAAUUAUUGGGUGUAAAGGGUGCGUAGACGGGAAUUUAAGUUAGUUGUGAAAUCCCUCGGCUUAACUGAGGAACUGCAACUAAAACUGGAUUUCUUGAGUGCAGGAGAGGAAAGUGGAAUUCCUAGUGUAGCGGUGAAAUGCGUAGAUAUUAGGAGGAACACCAGUGGCGAAGGCGGCUUUCUGGACUGUAACUGACGUUGAGGCACGAAAGUGUGGGGAGCAAACAGG